GACGAACGCUGGCCGCGUGCUUAACACAUGCAAGUCGAACGGAAAGGCUCCAGCUUGCUGGAGUACUCGAGUGGCGAAGGGGUGAGUAACACGCGGGUAAUCUGCCCUGCACUCUGGGAUAAGCCUGCGAAACUGGGUCUAAUACUGGAUAUGACCUUUCUCCUAAUGGGGUUUGGUGGAAAGUUUUUCGGUGUCGGAUGAGCCCGCGGCAUAUCAGCUUGUUGGUGGGGUGAUGGCCUACCAAGGCGACGACGGGUAGCCGGCCUGAGAGGGUGAUCGGCCACAUUGGGACUGAGAUACGGCCCAGACUGCUACGGGCGGCAGCAGUGGGGAAUAUUGCACAAUGGGCGGAAGCCUGAUGCAGCGACGCCGCGUGAGGGAUGACGGCCUUCGGGUUGUAAACCUCUUUCAGCAGGGACGAAGCGUAAGUGACGGUACCUGCAGAAGAAGCACCGGCUAACUACGUG
RNAcentral lists this ribosomal RNA (467 nucleotides) under uncultured bacterium. RNAcentral describes it as "partial 16S ribosomal RNA". It matches the Rfam family "Bacterial small subunit ribosomal RNA", at positions 28 to 507 of the family's 1533-position model. The record is from RNAcentral.